RNAcentral lists this long non-coding RNA (218 nucleotides) under Elaeis guineensis (African oil palm). Its description in RNAcentral is "long non-coding RNA (EGUI_LNC058415)". Lineage: Eukaryota; Viridiplantae; Streptophyta; Magnoliopsida; Arecales; Arecaceae. The record is from RNAcentral.
CCAUUAUUGAAUUUCUUUUGACAUCUAUCUUUAUUACUAAGGUUAGAUAUUUUUCUAUAUAUUCUAUAGUCUUAUUUGUUAAUAAUCUAGUGGUAUUUAUUUAUUAGGUUUAAUAUAGCCUCAAAAGAUUUUUUGCUUUCUUCUUUUUAGGGAUCUUUUGAGCUCUCUUAUCAAACUUCUUUUUGGAUUUUAUAUGUUUUCUUAUAUGUAGUUUAUCU